UAAGGACAUAAUUUUUUUAUUGUGAAUUGCUUUAUGUAUGAAGAUGUUCAUUACAGACAUUUAUAAUAGUAAUAACUUUGUGCAGAUGAUGUUUUAAGUUCUUUUCUUCAAUUAAUGCAGUUAAUCCUCACAAAAACCCAACGAAGUGGAGAUAGUUGCUGUUAAUAUCUUCAUUUUACAGAUGAGAAAACUGGAACACUGACAGAUCAAGUAUCUUUCUCAAGAUUGCAUAGCCAAUGAGCAGAGGAGCAAGGAUUUGAACCAGGCUGUUGGCUCCACAGCCUACGCUUGAACCUGCUCUAGGCUGUCGGAAGCAACCUAAAUAGCUAACAACUGGAGAUUUGCUAAGGUGUUGCGGGCCUCUGCUCUCGUAAUACUUCAGCUACAGAACCCACGUGUGAACGCUCCUAGCGCUCUGGAGAAGAUCAAAUGCAUGUGGAAGCUCUUUGAAAACCAUAAAGCCCUCUAAAUGAAAAGGCAUGUGAGGAUACAGUGAGAAGGUGGCCGUCUGCAAGCCUCACCAAGAACUGAAUCUGCCGGCACCUUGAUCUCGGAGUUCCUAGCCUCCAGAACCACCCCAACUUCGUCUCCUUUACACUUUAAGAAUACAGUAUUAGAGGCCAACCCGGUGGCGCAGUGGUUAAGUUCACACAUAACGCUUCUCGGAGGCCUGGGGUUCCCCUGUGCGGACAUGGCACCGCUUGGCAAAAGCCAUGCUGUGAUCUUUGAAGAGGAAAGUGGACUGGUUUCUAAAACUGUUCAAUUGUUUGAAGGUAAUCAUAGCCUCCAUUGCUCUUCUGAUUUUCAUCUAUAGAUACGGGAAAGUGUUUGUAUCAGCUACUUCUUUCUUUAAGUACUUGUGCUUACUUUUCUCUUGAAAUAAAAAUUAAAAAUUGGAAAUUAUUAGCUGUUUUACAUGAAAUAAAUCUGAUAUGUGUAUUAUCAACAAAGACUUAUGUCUCAAACAGGAAAGAACAUUUCAUGAAACCAAAUUUGAAGUUCAAGCAGAGCUUUCAUGUUGAAGUAUUUGUAGUUCCCUUUUUCUUGGCCCUACUGGUCUUUUUUUUUCUUUUUCUGCUUUAUCUCCCCAAAACCCC
RNAcentral lists this long non-coding RNA (1097 nucleotides) under Equus caballus (horse). Its description in RNAcentral is "lncRNA (ENSECAG00000048855.1)". Lineage: Eukaryota; Metazoa; Chordata; Mammalia; Perissodactyla; Equidae. The record is from RNAcentral.